CCUACGGGUGGCAGCAGUGGGGAAUAUUGCACAAUGGGGGAAACCCUGAUGCAGCGACGCCGCGUGAGUGAAGCAGUAUUUCGGUACGUAAAGCUCUAUCAGCAGGGAAGAAAAUGACGGUACCUGACUAAGAAGCCCCGGCUAACUACGUGCCAGCAGCCGCGGUAAUACGUAGGGGGCAAGCGUUAUCCGGAUUUACUGGGUGUAAAGGGAGCGUAGACGGCAGCGCAAGUCAGGAGUGAAAUCCCAUGGGUUAACCAUGGAACUGCUGUGGAAACUGUGCAGCUAGAGUGCAGGAGGGGGAAGCGGAAGUCCUAGUGUAGCGGUGAAAUGCGUAGAUAGUAGGAGGAACACCAGUGGCGAAGGCGGCUUACUGGACUGUAACUGACGUUGAGGCUCGAAAGCGUGGGGAGCAAACAGGAUUAGAUACCCGAGUAGUC
RNAcentral lists this ribosomal RNA (440 nucleotides) under uncultured bacterium. RNAcentral's name for it is "partial 16S ribosomal RNA". It matches the Rfam family "Bacterial small subunit ribosomal RNA", at positions 338 to 795 of the family's 1533-position model. The record is from RNAcentral.